RNAcentral lists this ribosomal RNA (701 nucleotides) under Pristimantis muranunka. RNAcentral describes it as "partial 16S ribosomal RNA". It matches the Rfam family "Bacterial large subunit ribosomal RNA", at positions 869 to 2088 of the family's 2925-position model. The record is from RNAcentral. Lineage: Eukaryota; Metazoa; Chordata; Amphibia; Anura; Strabomantidae.
UUUUAGUUCNACCUAAAGUAACUNNUUAUUNUCUAAUAAUUAUUCUNNNCCCCUACUUUAGAGUUAAUCAAAUGAGGUACAGCCCAUUUGACAUAGGAUACAACCUUUACUAACGGGUNNAAACCCCCCCCACACCUUAAAGUAGGCCUAAGAGCAGCCACCUUUUAAAAAGCGUCAAAGCUUAANNNCCUUGUGUNAUACUAAUUCAAAAACCCACAUUAACCCCUUUAACCAUAUUGAGAACUUCUAUAACCCUAUAGAACCUUUUAUGCUAAAACUAGUAACAAGAGAAAACCNNNCUCUCCCAAUGCAAACAUAAGCCAGCAAGAACCUAUCACUGGCAAUUAACAGNCCUUAAAUAAAAGUAGCAACUUCACUAGAAAACCCUACUCCUNCCGACUGUUAACCUAACACUAGAGCAUUUCAAGAAAGAUUAAAAGAAAAAGAAGGAACUCGGCAAACUCCAGUCCCGCCUGUUUACCAAAAACAUCGCCUCUUGCUUNCCCAUAAGAGGUCUAACCUGCCCAGUGACCCUGUUCAACGGCCGCGGUAUCCUAACCGUGCGAAGGUAGCGUAAUCACUUGUUUUCCAAAUAAAGACCUGUAUGAAAGGUAAAACGAGGACUAAGCUGUCUCCUUUUUUUAAUCAGUGAACCUAAUCUCCCCGUGAAGAAGCGGGGAUCUUAACAUAAGACGAGAAGA